UAUUUACCUUUUUUCCCUAUUCCAUAAAAAAUAAAAUAAAAAAUUCAAAAAUCAUUUUCAAAGUUUCCAUCUGUGUCUUUCUCCUUUGCCUUUUUUUUGGGGUUCCACACGCAACUUUCCAUUUUUUAUUUCUUCCUUCUUUUCUUUUUGGGGCUCCACAUGUUUUCUCUUUUUUGACUUCAUACCAUAUUUUCCCUAAAUUGCUCCAUCUCCCUUCUCUUUCUCCUGCAAACCAGCCGCCUCCCUCAUCUCCUUUGUCCUCUCUCCUUCUCUCUGUCCCUCACCUGCGCUCCCUUUCCCCGAUUUUCCUCCACUCUCAUUCGUCGCUGUCCCCCACUCGCUACACCCCGCUCCUCUUCUUCUUCCAUCUAAAACCCUAAUCACAAUCCUAUAAAAAGAGGGGAACGAGGAGAAGCGAGGAGGACGAAAUACCUCUCAUUUAAGCUAUUUUUCUACUUUUGCUAAAAAAAAAAACAUUAGCAUUUUAUAUCUUUCAAUCUCUGUCCGUUUCUAUUUUGUAAAAGGAGAGUAGAUCUGAGACUUGACGCCCCGUUCACUGUGCUCACAAGAGAGUUUGACUUCGAAACUCAAGGACACCGCUUAUGGAGUCCACAUAUCUGCACGAAUUUUUCUUGUCUCUCAAAUAUCAAUUUACAGAGGGGAUUUUGUCCUCCCAUUAAAGCCGAAUGUGCUACUUAAUCGUCCCUCUUUUCUCUGGUUGCUUUGCUUACUUAUGAUGGUGAAUGAUUUUAUUUUCAGUUA
Molecule: long non-coding RNA, 762 nt
Organism: Lycium barbarum (goji berry)
Lineage: Eukaryota; Viridiplantae; Streptophyta; Magnoliopsida; Solanales; Solanaceae
Exons: 2
Source: RefSeq, a predicted model, not a curated record